AUCAUUUAAAAUUUACAAAGGUUUCCAGAACUUUUUUGUUAAUUUAUUAAAUUUUUAAAACGGCCCUUGGAUGAAUGCAACGAAAAAUACGCAUCCAAUGUGCGGAAAUGGGAAACCGUUUCGGGCAACUUCCGUUGAAACGAGAAAUCAAUGCAGCUCAGCAGUUAAAGUAAAGUUCAUAAAAGCAAAAAGCAUGUCAACCCGAAAGUACAAACAGACAAGUCUCCAAGAGUCAGACAAAAGGAUUGAAGGAUUCAUAAGGCGAGGCGGCUGCAACAUCAACAGGAAGCGACUCAGAAAUCACAUCCAAAUGGCUGAGCAGCCAAGCUUGCGUGCAAGCAUGGAGGGAACCCAGGAAGUAAACUAUUAGAGUCCCAAAAAGAAAUAAAA
Non-coding RNA from Drosophila virilis, 390 nucleotides. NCBI's taxonomy places the organism in Eukaryota, Metazoa, Arthropoda, Insecta, Diptera, Drosophilidae. The record is from RefSeq and is a predicted model, not a curated record.